UUCACCGUCUUGAAACAUUGUCUAUCAAACGGCCUACGCUGUCACAUUUGUUAGUUCGUGAUCAGCGUUGGCCGAGAUGGAUUCGUACUAAAUGAAAUUUAUAGCAUCUGUUUUAAUAAACACUUUUAUUGGAAAAUGGUGUUAUAAAUUCAGAAAUAACAUCCCGGUCAAUUGCGAAACGCAACAUUAUAAAUUUCAUUUACGUAAACUAGAAUGACGGUGGCAAACAAAAGACUAAGCUGGCAUGGAGCAGUCAGCUACAGCUGCGAAACAAUAGCUACCGACGGUAGCCCUUGCCAUCGUGAUUCCGUCACUACCAUGCAUUGUAAAGCGAAGGUGAAAUCUUCAACGGGAUGUAGACGUUCAACAAGGGUGGAAGAAACUUCAUCGUUGCGAGAGGUCAGCUGGAGGCAACUAUAGCUGCUUAGACUAUCGAAAACGAACUGGGUGUUCGGCAAGGGAGAGCUGAAUAGUAACAGCAACUAAAGAAUACGAAAGUUUAGCAACUUUGAUAACCACAGAAGUAUCAAGUUAUUCAAACGCGAAGACGCAACAAUUGC
Molecule: long non-coding RNA, 560 nt
Organism: Topomyia yanbarensis
Lineage: Eukaryota; Metazoa; Arthropoda; Insecta; Diptera; Culicidae
Exons: 3
Source: RefSeq, a predicted model, not a curated record